CCAGCAACAGCGGACCCUUAGGCCUAUCUUGGCCAGUUACACCGGAGCUCAGCAACUGCGUGCCCCACCCUCAUUGUUUUAAACUUGCACAGCAAGGUGAUGCCCUGCAGGUGUAUCACCCCCCAGCCUUAUCGGCACCCCAUCUAUUGUUUUUGGAAGCACCUGGUCCUAUAUGAAGCGUUCCUCAGAGCGUGAGACCCUCGCCAUUUCGCGUCAGGACCAGCGCCGGUGCAGACCAUUUUCUACCCACACAGAGCGUUUCUGACCAGCUCUCCCCUACUCUGAGACGCAGCGGAGCGGAGGUUCUUCAGACUACUGGAAAGAGUCAUCAUUACCAACGUCCUCCACCAUAACUCCUUGAAAUAUCGGGAGGUUCCAAAGUGGGUUAGGGUUCUUGUGCUCAAACGUAUAGCAAACCUCAUCUGCUACCACUGGCCAAAAGAUAUCCAGCCGCCUUCUACACCACAGAAGGAUAAACCUGGAAACUCCAAUGUCAGUUCUGGUCCAUGGAUCAUUCAACCAGCCAGCUGGGCACCUGACCAGCACCCAGUUAGUAACGGUACAUCUGCUCUGCCUGAACUGCAACAGAUCUGUCAGUACCUUGCUGAACUUGGUGCCCACCUCCUCUCUCUGCAGAAGGAAAGCCAGCUGUUGCACCAGUGGUGUCAUGUAGGAUAUGUCCUUGACUUCCUGCUCUUUCGUAUCUAUCUGCUGCUCAUCAGCUGCUAUGCCAUGGUUAUUGUCACAAUGUGGUGCAUUUGGAUCACUCAGUCCUAAGUGGAUAUGGAUAUGAUCCAGGAUUGGAUGUCUUGUAUAAAAUUUGAAAGGAACAAUUGUUCCUUUCCCCUUUGCUGUGUGCUGUGCUGAUGCUGUUUUCAAAACCUACCACACUCAUGUACAGUAUCAGUCACACUGAGAUAUUUCAGAGAUAACCUGAAUAAAUACAAAUAAAAUACAAAUAAAGGG
RNA transcript from Oreochromis aureus, 966 nucleotides. It is a transcript of the gene named 5-hydroxytryptamine receptor 3A-like, with no coding region annotated. Lineage: Eukaryota; Metazoa; Chordata; Actinopteri; Cichliformes; Cichlidae. The record is from RefSeq and is a predicted model, not a curated record. The transcript is spliced from 3 exons.